GACGAACGCUGGCGGCGUGCUUAACACAUGCAAGUCGAACGGAAAGGCCCUGCUUUUGUGUGGUGCUCGAGUGGCGAACGGGUGAGUAACACGUGAGUAACCUGCCCUUGACUUUGGGAUAACUUCAGGAAACUGGGGCUAAUACCGGAUAGGAGCUCCUGCUGCAUGGUGGGGGUUGGAAAGUUUAGGCGGUGGGGGAUGGACUCGCGGCUUAUCAGCUUGUUGGUGGGGUAGUGGCUUACCAAGGCUUUGACGGGUAGCCGGCCUGAGAGGGUGACCGGCGACAUUGGGACUAAGAUACGGCGCAGACUCGUAUGGGAGGCAGCAGUCGGGAAUAUGGCACAAUGGGGGGAAGUCUGAUGCAGCAACGUCGCGUGCGGGAUGACGGCCUUCGGGGUGUAAACCGCUUUCGCCUGUGACGAAGCGUGAGUGACGGUAAUAGGUAAAGAAGCACCGGCUAACUACGUG
RNAcentral lists this ribosomal RNA (468 nucleotides) under uncultured bacterium. RNAcentral describes it as "partial 16S ribosomal RNA". It matches the Rfam family "Bacterial small subunit ribosomal RNA", at positions 28 to 507 of the family's 1533-position model. The record is from RNAcentral.